GGGCCCGUAGCUCAGCCAGGAUAGAGCGCCGGCCUCCUAAGCCGGAUGUCGGGGGUUCAAAUCCCCUCGGGCCCGCCA
RNAcentral lists this transfer RNA (78 nucleotides) under Desulfurococcaceae archaeon. Its description in RNAcentral is "tRNA-Arg". It matches the Rfam family "tRNA". From Rfam's summary of the family: Transfer RNA (tRNA) molecules are approximately 80 nucleotides in length. Their secondary structure includes four short double-helical elements and three loops (D, anti-codon, and T loops). Further hydrogen bonds mediate the characteristic L-shaped molecular structure. tRNAs have two regions of fundamental functional importance: the anti-codon, which is responsible for specific mRNA codon recognition, and the 3' end, to which the tRNAs corresponding amino acid is attached (by aminoacyl-tRNA synthetases). tRNAs cope with the degeneracy of the genetic code in two manners: having more than one tRNA (with a specific anti-codon) for a particular amino acid; and 'wobble' base-pairing, i.e. permitting non-standard base-pairing at the 3rd anti-codon position. RNAcentral also lists the same sequence under 4 other names. Lineage: Archaea; Thermoproteati; Thermoproteota; Thermoprotei; Desulfurococcales; Desulfurococcaceae. The record is from RNAcentral.